RNAcentral lists this ribosomal RNA (292 nucleotides) under uncultured bacterium. Its description in RNAcentral is "partial 16S ribosomal RNA". It matches the Rfam family "Bacterial small subunit ribosomal RNA", at positions 505 to 796 of the family's 1533-position model. The record is from RNAcentral.
GUGUCAGCAGCCGCGGUAAGACGUAGGGCGCGAGCGUUGUCCGGAUUUAUUGGGCGUAAAGAGCUCGUAGGCGGCUUGUCGCGUCGACCGUGAAAACUUGGGGCUCAACCCCAAGCCUGCGGUCGAUACGGGCAGGCUAGAGUUCGGUAGGGGAGACUGGAAUUCCUGGUGUAGCGGUGAAAUGCGCAGAUAUCAGGAGGAACACCGGUGGCGAAGGCGGGUCUCUGGGCCGAUACUGACGCUGAGGAGCGAAAGCGUGGGGAGCGAACAGGAUUAGAUACCCGAGUAGUCC